CAACGCUCCCCGCCAUCGCCGCGUGCGUCACCCCCAUCCUCAUCCUUACCCCCACCAACAGCCUCGGAGCCUGCGGUGAAGCGUGUCCACACCCCUCCUGCCGGAGUCGUGGACCCCCCACCAGCAGCACCGAAGCCAGCUCCUCUCACUAAGCACCAGCCCGAACCCACCUCCAACAUCCGGGAAAUCAUCAAGCUAUACAACAGCCGACCCGAGCCGGAAGCCAAACCCUUUGAGUCCGUCAGACCUGCUGCGCGGCAUUUCUUAAAGAAGAAUGACCCCAAAGACGAAGCUCUGGCCAAACUCCAGAAC
Long non-coding RNA from Pseudoliparis swirei, 312 nucleotides. RefSeq lists it as uncharacterized. The record is from RefSeq and is a predicted model, not a curated record. The transcript has 3 exons. NCBI's taxonomy places the organism in Eukaryota, Metazoa, Chordata, Actinopteri, Perciformes, Liparidae.